ACGUAGGGUGCGAGCGUUAAUCGGAAUUACUGGGCGUAAAGCGUGCGCAGGCGGUUUUGUAAGACAGGGGUGAAAUCCCCGGGCUUAACCUGGGAAUUGCCUUUGUGACUGGCGGGCUGGAGUACGGCAGAGGGGGGUGGAAUUCCACGUGUAGCAGUGAAAUGCGUAGAGAUGUGGAGGAACACCGAUGGCGAAGGCAGCCCCCUGGGCCUAUACUGACGCUCAUGCACGAAAGCGUGGGGAGCAAACAG
This 251-nucleotide ribosomal RNA is filed under the name uncultured prokaryote. RNAcentral describes it as "partial 16S ribosomal RNA". It matches the Rfam family "Bacterial small subunit ribosomal RNA", at positions 525 to 775 of the family's 1533-position model. The record is from RNAcentral.